This 253-nucleotide ribosomal RNA is filed under the name uncultured bacterium. Its description in RNAcentral is "partial 16S ribosomal RNA". It matches the Rfam family "Bacterial small subunit ribosomal RNA", at positions 524 to 776 of the family's 1533-position model. The record is from RNAcentral.
UACGUAGGGUGCGAGCGUUAAUCGGAAUUACUGGGCGUAAAGCGUGCGCAGGCGGUUAUGUAAGUCAGGUGUGAAAUCCCCGGGCUUAACCUGGGAACUGCAUUUGUGACUGCAUAGCUAGAGUACGGUAGAGGGGGAUGGAAUUCCGCGUGUAGCAGUGAAAUGCGUAGAUAUGCGGAGGAACACCGAUGGCGAAGGCAAUCCCCUGGACCUGUACUGACGCUCAUGCACGAAAGCGUGGGGAGCAAACAGG